RNAcentral lists this ribosomal RNA (428 nucleotides) under uncultured bacterium. Its description in RNAcentral is "bacterial SSU rRNA". It matches the Rfam family "Bacterial small subunit ribosomal RNA", at positions 29 to 444 of the family's 1533-position model. The record is from RNAcentral.
AGCGAACGUUAGCGGCGCGCCUAACACAUGCAAGUCGCACGAGAAAGGGAGCAAUCCCCGGUACAGUGGCGCACGGGUGAGUAACACGUAGAUGACCUUCCCUGGAGUGGUGGAUAACCUGCCGAAAGGCGGGCUAAUACAGCAUGGGACCACAUGGUUUUGACCGAGUGGUGAAAGCGGGCCUCUGUUCACAAGCUCGCGCUCUGGGAUGGGUCUGCGUCCCAUCAGCUAGUUGGUGAGGUAAUGGCUCACCAAGGCAUCGACGGGUAGCUGGUCUGAGAGGAUGACCAGCCACACUGGAACUGAGACACGGUCCAGACUCCUACGGGAGGCAGCAGUGGGGAAUCUUGCGCAAUGGGCGAAAGCCUGACGCAGCGACGCCGCGUGGGUGAUGAAGGCCCUUGGGUUGUAAACCGCUGUCAGGGGGA